CGAAGCUGUUUUCUAUGGCAUGCACCCAUGUAAAAUUUCAACUUUAAUUGACAUUGUUCAAACUAUAAUUAUAAUUAUAAUACAAUAGUUUUAGUGUGUAUACUUUGGCGUUUAAAUGUAGUUAGCGAUUAUUUGUGUAUACUGUGCAUGAUAAAACCUGCGGGCCUGUAUUUUUAUUGCGAAUUUACUUCGAAUGAUUCUCACACAAAAUAAAACGGUCUUAUAAUUAGGAUGUGUUAAAACAUUGACGUCUGUAGUUCAGUAAAGCCUAUAGUUUACACGAGCAAGUUUUAUUUUGGCAAGUUUCACUUUGACAAUUUUUAUUUGCUGGUGUAAAAUGUGGCGAAGUUUUCAUUGACAAGUGCAUGUAUACUUGUUGGAAAACUGGCAUGCCAACUUUUCAACAAGUAUAGUUGUUAAAGAAAAACUGCCAUAUGUCGCUAAAAUUGUCCGUGUACACAAUGACAUGUCAAGAAAAAUGUGACAAGCAAAACAUUGUUGGCUGUUAAAACUUGCGAAGGAGAACUUAUCAAAGAAAAAAUAUUUACCAUUCAUAUAAACGAGCAUGUUCAAUAGACCUUAAUUCUUAUAAUGACGUCAAACGCGAAAAACAAGUCGUUAGCGUCUAAAGUCUGGUUUCCAUAUGGUCGUAACGGUCGUAAAGAUUGAGUCACGAUCUUUCUCAUCAGCCGAAAUACAACAUUUUAGAAGUGAAAACACGUGGAGUGAUUAUAACUAGAGAAUACUUAUUAUUUAUAUGUGGUUUACAAGUAUAAACUAUUAUAAACUGGCCGUUGAGAAAGAUCGCGACUCUAUUUUUACGACCAUUACGACCAUAUGGAAACCAGGCUUUACAAGUGUUUUCCCGCGUUUGACGUCUAUAUAUAAGAAAGUCUAUUUCACAAAAUUUGCCAAAAGAAAAUUUUUCGCGUAAAGUAGGUCCUAUAUAUAUAUAUAUAUAUACAGGGUGUAUAAAAAAAACUGAACAGAUUUGAAAUUGCUCUCAAUUUCGCAAAACACCUAUUUGUAUCCGUUUUUUAUAUGUAUAGCUUCGUUGGGUACUUAUAAUGUAGAACAAUGAAAAAAAUUUCUCGAACUCAAAUUUUGUGAACCAGGGGGGGUGUGUGUGUGUCUUUUCCAACAAACUAAAAAUGGCUCGCGCACAAAAUUUAAAAGCUGCAGGCAUAUGUUGAGUUAAUAGAUGGAAAAUUUGUCGGGUUUUUAAUUACUGUAAAAAUUUCCAGACAAUUUGGUUCAGUUUAAGCCCCUUAACUAUUCACGCAAAGUUACAUUUUUCCUAAAAAUCAGCUAUUUGCAUGCUUAAUUAAUGCAUUUGCCUAAUUUGCAUAUGUCAGCAAUAUGCAAAUUAGGUAAAGGCAUUAAUUAAGCAUGCGAAAGGCUGACUUUUUAGAACAAAAUGAAUAGUUAAAGGGCUUAAACUAAACCAAAUUGUCUGAAAUUUUGGACAGUAAUUAAAAACCCGACAAAUGUUCCAUCUAUUAACUCAAAAUAUGAUUACAGCUUUUAAAUUUUGUGCGCGAGCCAUUUCUAGUUUGUUGGAAAAGACACCCCCCCCCUGGUUCACAAAAUUUGAGUUCGAGAAUUUUUACAUUAUAAGUACCCAAAGAAGCUAUAUAUAUAAAAAACGGAUACAAAUAGGUGUUUUGCGAAAUUGGGAGCAAUUUCAAAUCUGUUCAGUUUUUUUUAUACACCCUGUAUAUAUAUAUCCUCAUCAGUGUAGUGCUAGCCUGCGAACAGGCUCUCAAGCUGAAUUGAGAGCCUGCAUCGAUGACUAAUGAAUUUGAAUAUCUGCGUCUCAAAUCGUGACGCGAAAUUCUCAUUGGUCAGAUGCUAUAAUUUAUAUGUUUCCGCUGAGCUCUAUAUAUGUCAACUGCUGAAGCACUAUGCAUAAAAACACAUUAACUGAUCAAAUUGGUCUUGGCCGUCUUAUCUCAAAGCACGAAAUGUUCUGUUUUGAGAAAACAGUAUUUAAAACAUUUGAACUUUUGCUUGAAUAUCUUAUAUUUCGAAAAACAGUAUAAACUGUACGGUCUAAAUUUAGUUUGCACGGUCUAAAUUUAGUUUGCACAAAAGUUGUAAACAACACCAUAUAAGGAUAGACAUUCCAUAUUUGGAAAAACGAACGUUACGGGGCAGAUAUUCAAAUCCAUUAGUCAUCCAUGCAGGCUCUCAAUUCAGCUUGAGAGCCUGUU
This is a non-coding RNA of Paramuricea clavata, 2213 nucleotides long. Lineage: Eukaryota; Metazoa; Cnidaria; Anthozoa; Malacalcyonacea; Plexauridae. The record is from the annotation of a GenBank genome assembly.